This 498-nucleotide ribosomal RNA is filed under the name uncultured bacterium. RNAcentral's name for it is "bacterial SSU rRNA". It matches the Rfam family "Bacterial small subunit ribosomal RNA", at positions 11 to 518 of the family's 1533-position model. The record is from RNAcentral.
GUUUGAUUAUGGCUCAGGAUGAACGCUAGCGUAACGCUUAACACAUGCAAGUCGAACGGAUUCUGCGUUGUAGCAAUACAUAGUAGAAUUAGUGGCAAACGAGCGAGUAACACGUACUUAACUUGCCCCUAAGAUGAGAAAAACUAUAGAGAUAUAGCUAAUUCUCAAUAUGCUCACGAUGGUGAAAUUCCGAUGUGAAGGAAAGAUUUAUCGCUUAGGGAGAGGGGUGCGUCCUAUCAGGUAGUUGGUGGGGUAACGGCCUACCAAGCCAAUGACGGGUAACCGGUCUGAGAUGAUGUCCGGUCGCGAUGGGACUGAGAUACGGCCCAUACUCCUACGGGAGGCAGCAGUGGGGAAUAUUGCACAAUGGACGAAAGUCUGAAUGCAGCGAUUACGCGUGAAGGAUGAAGCAUUACGGUGUGUAAACUUCUUUUUUGGUGGAAGACGAAUGACGGUACACCAAGAAUAAGAGACGGCUAACUACGUGCCAGCCGCGGC